Long non-coding RNA from Onychostoma macrolepis, 3430 nucleotides. RefSeq lists it as uncharacterized. The transcript has 15 exons. The record is from RefSeq and is a predicted model, not a curated record. NCBI's taxonomy places the organism in Eukaryota, Metazoa, Chordata, Actinopteri, Cypriniformes, Cyprinidae.
AGACAGCUGCAGAGAUGAUGCUACUACAGUCUGCCAGAUUCAGAGACUGUAAGAGGAACAAACCCACCGCUGGGACUGUGAGCUUCACACCUCUCCUGCAUCUGAAAUGCCGGAAACGGAUAAAUGAGAAGCGCCACGGCCUCCUGAAGCAGACAAACGGAUGAAAGAUUCAUGAAGGAGGUGAAUGUUGGGCGCAACGAAACGAUCCGCAGAUCUCUUUCACCUGUGGCCCACCAGACGGCAGAACCGGUGUGUGAGCACAGGUUGAGCCCAGACAGCACCAGCUGUUCUCUGUAAUGCUGAGGAUCCAGCAGGUGUGUGUAACUCCUCAACAGGUACUUUUCUAUGUGGAUAAACUCACUAACCUGUUCCUGUGAGUGAAUCUUUGCUUGUAAUGUGUUGGAUAUUCUUCAACAAUGAAUCAACAAGGUUUAGAGCAACAUGAGGGCGCUGUGGAAUGCAUUGACCUGCGGUGCGACACACAGACAUGUUACAUCUUUAAAGCUGAUUGAUUUUAUAGUUUGUGAUUUCCUUCCCUGCGGCCCGAUGGCGAGAGAGAGACAGAGAGCACAGCUCUGAACCGCGUGUGUUUUUACACCUGUCAGGGGCCGUUAGUCUUCUCUGAUAACAACAGUCACUACUUUCUGUGUUUUUUCAAAGUCAUGUUUUAUUCAUGACUGAUAAGAAUCCAAGAAACGCAAGAUAACAGAGAAAAAGACAAGAUUGUGCCGCUCAUAGCAGGAAGCAGAAGCUGGUGUGUUUCUGAGAUGAUCUGCGUCUCUCUCCUGUCAACAUGGCUAUGAAUACAGGCUGAGAGCUUCGGGGUCAGCUGGAGCGUGACCUUUGACCUGCAGAAGAAAUCACAUCAAAUGGGUUUGGAACGGCAUGAGGGUUUCCAUUGUCCAGACAGACUGAUGACAGGAGACGGAGACGUUUAUACAUUCAGAAAAGCCGCUCUUGAUCUGGGAUCAUCUAGAGACUGAUGGUGUCGCCUCUCAGUUGCUGUUUUGACACCAGAAAUGGCGUCUGAAGCGCGCUAAGAAGUGCUUCUGGCUCUCAGCGUGGCCGCUCCGGAUCCAGGUGUGAACGCAGUCUCUGGUUUGGCAGAUGCAUGAGUGAAAGUUUGAAUCUGACUGAUCAGUAGAAAUGAAGAUGAACACAGCAAACGGCUGCCGUGACGGGUUCAUACUGAAGUGUGUAUGCAGAUUCCCCCUCAGUCGCCCUGUUUGGAUCAGAACUCUGAGAGGAAAGACGCAUCAAACGCGCAGUGAAAUCCACAGGUUGCUCUUUUAUAGCUGAGAAACAUCUCAUGGAUCUUGGAGAAUCUGAGCACAGUUUGAGACGUUAUGGAGACUUCUUCUCUGGAGUAACGUCUGAUGGGGACGUCUCCAUUUGAUCUCACAUUGCUAUCUAGGAAACAACGGUUUUUCUUUCUUGUUACAAAUUUAAGUACUCAUACUAAUAAAAGUAAGUGACAUUUAAAUCGUAUUUUGGACUGAUAUUAAAUCUGGAGGAUUUUUCUCAAUUGUUGCUCUUUUAUGGCUCAAACACUCAUGGAUUUUUUUAUGAUCUAUAAAUGUUGUCCAAACAAAUCCAAAUUCGCGUCAAUAGUAGUAAGAUAAUAUAUUAGCAAGAUGAAUAAAUGUGGAGCAGCUCAGAUGAUUUCAUGAAUGUUUGAGUUGGUUGAGAUCUCUGACUUCUGGUUGCUGAUCAGACCUGAGCACAGUUUGAGACGUUAUUGAGAUCUCCUUUGAGAUCUUCUCAGGCCUUCAUUUGAUCUGCAUUCAAUCACAUUGCUGUCUAAGAGAAACAGCUGAGGCAUUAAAGAGGUUGUUUAUUUUUCUGAGAUGUCAUUUGUGUUUUUCUUUUCCCGUGUCAAUCUAGAUACGUCAUGGUGUGAACGGUUAAACUGGACUCUGAGAUUCUGCUGUUUUCUUAAAGACAGUACUGGAGGACAGUGAACAAAGUAAAGACGGAUCGAGCUCAAACCCAACUGUUUAGUUAGUUAAUAUCACUCCAUCAUGUGUGAUCAAAUUGCACAAAUCAGUUUGAUAAUUCCAGCAUGUCAGAUGAUGACGGAAAGGGUCAAACUGGUGGAAACUGACAGGCUAAUUAUAAAACAAUUCUUCGUCUGCUUUCAGAAGUCCACUGACAUAAAGCAUGAGAUUGUCAUGCUUCUCCUCUCGGUGCAGGUGUGCGGCUGCAGAGAGAGAGAGAGAGAUGGAGAGAAGAAAGGAGAGCGAGAGAGAGUGUUAUUCAUCCCCAGGGGGCACUGUUAGCCCUCCACUUCAACAUCAACAACCUGCACCAUGUGGCCCCAAACACACACACACACACACACGCUCCAGCUGCAGAAGGUGCUGGUGACAGACAUUAAUUUGGUGCUUCAUAUCAUGACACAAAAGACAUCUUCCAUCGAGAGUCCACACACCCUCCUUCUCAUCUGAGAAUCCAGAGCACAGGUGUCCAUACACUGCCGACAGAAACGUCACACGCAACCAGCACUUACAAGUGGAAAAAGUUACCGCCGUAAUGCAAACUUGACUUCAAACCUGCCGUGACAUGUUCAGACAACUUCUUUUGUAUUUUUUUUUUUUUUGGUUUUUUUUUUUUUACAAAAAAUAUAAAUUUUUUGUUUCUAAAUGAAGAGUUCAGAUGUAAAAGCCUCUAAGUGCCGUCUGAAAAAAAUUUCUCAGACUCCUAUGUUUAUGUUCAGUUAUUUCACUUUAAUGGCAAUGAAAAGAAUCUAUUUAUUGCCAUUAAACAUGAAAAUGGUGCAAGAAUAUGGUAAUCAUUUAAUAUCAUGGUACUUUCAGAGUAUUUUUGUGUGCUUGAGUGUUAAAAAUUACAAUUAGUACCACGGACUUUGAGCAUGUACCGUGGCAUAGUGAUUGUAUCAAAUGGUUCAAUUAAAAAAAUUAAUUGGUACACUGACAUAAAAUCACUCAUUAUUAUUUUAAAAAAGUGCUCUUUAUAUAUUUAACCAAAAUACCAUGAUACUUUACAUGGUACAAGUAAAUAAAUGUUAAGAAAAGCAAAAUGGAAUUAGUAGUAGUCAAAUGCAAAUUUCUGUAGAUCUGUAAAGAUGCAAAGAUUAAAGUCUCAAACCCAAACAGAUAUUCUUUAUAAAAGUUAAGACUCUGCCACGCCUUCCUAAAACGGCUCAUUCAAACACGCCCCCACAUGUCUACAUCACGGUGUGGGAAGCUUUGCAUAACACCACCCAAACGUACAGGCAUUGAAAGAAGGCAUAACUUUUAUUCUCGCUGUAGUAUUGUUUGUGUCGCCGUCAUGUCCUGGAGACGCUGUGUUUCGUUGUGAAAGUGAAACUACUUUGUUUGGCCUUCCAAACGAGUACACAACUAAAAAUCAGGUAAGUUAUAUUUACAACACUGUUCCAGAACAGUACAACGCAAAUAUUCGAGUGUGU